This is a long non-coding RNA of Zingiber officinale, 227 nucleotides long. RefSeq lists it as uncharacterized. Lineage: Eukaryota; Viridiplantae; Streptophyta; Magnoliopsida; Zingiberales; Zingiberaceae. The transcript has 3 exons. The record is from RefSeq and is a predicted model, not a curated record.
CAGGAUCAGUACCAUUUGUUGAAUUGGAGGGUAUUCUUCAAUCUUCCUUAUCUAUGUUUAGGUUUUCAUAUGGAUGUAUCCGUGGAUAAAGGACAAUCGGAUUGUUGAAUUAAUUGGGAAUAUCUUUGUAGCAGUAAUAUCCUUCGUAGCUGCACUCGGUUUCUUAGUGUAUGGAGGAAGUCUAUUUUGCCUUCUGAGGCGUUUCCCUGUUGACUCGAAGGGGCGAC